This is a non-coding RNA of Podarcis lilfordi (Lilford's wall lizard), 75 nucleotides long. NCBI's taxonomy places the organism in Eukaryota, Metazoa, Chordata, Lepidosauria, Squamata, Lacertidae. The record is from the annotation of a GenBank genome assembly.
GCCAGAGGAUAGUUCAAUUGGUAGAGCACGAGACUCUUAAUCUUAGGGUUGUGGGUUCAAGUCCCACGCUGGGCG